ACUUAAAUAGUUUAAUUAAAAUAUCGAUUUGUGAUAUCGGUGAUAUAUACUUUAUAUUUUAGGUC
Molecule: transfer RNA, 65 nt
Filed under: Rhabdoblatta omei
Lineage: Eukaryota; Metazoa; Arthropoda; Insecta; Blattodea; Blaberidae
Description: tRNA-His
Source: RNAcentral